AAUAGAUACCCUGGUAGUCCACCCCGUAAACGUUGGGAACUAGUUGUGGGGUCCUUUCCACGGAUUCCGUGACGCAGCUAACGCAUUAAGUUCCCCGCCUGGGGAGUACGGCCGCAAGGCUAAAACUCAAAGGAAUUGACGGGGACCCGCACAAGCGGCGGAGCAUGCGGAUUAAUUCGAUGCAACGCGAAGAACCUUACCAAGGCUUGACAUACACGAGAACGGGCCAGAAAUGGUCAACUCUUUGGACACUCGUGAACAGGUGGUGCAUGGUUGUCGUCAGCUCGUGUCGUGAGAUGUUGGGUUAAGUCCCGCAACGAGCGCAACCCUCGUUCUAUGUUGCCAGCACGUAAUGGUGGGAACUCAUGGGAUACUGCCGGGGUCAACUCGGAGGAAGGUGGGGAUGACGUCAAAUCAUCAUGCCCCUUAUGUCUUGGGCUUCACGCAUGCUACAAUGGCCGGUACAAUGGGCUGCGAUACCGUAAGGUGGAGCGAAUCCCAAAAAGCCGGUCCCAGUUCGGAUUGAGGUCUGCAACUCGA
Molecule: ribosomal RNA, 540 nt
Filed under: uncultured bacterium
Lineage: Bacteria
Description: bacterial SSU rRNA
Rfam family: Bacterial small subunit ribosomal RNA
Source: RNAcentral